GGCUGCAUUGCUGGUGGUGGUGGUAGCUGGUGACCUCGCUCACCUUCCCUGUUCGUAGGAUCCUCUCCCUCCGCGGCCAUGGAAGAGGAGGAGAAUCCAGUUCCCCCAGCGUCAGAGGAUCCAGUGGGCGGCAGUGAGGAGCAGGGGCGGCCGAGCGAUGCCCCCCCAGACAGGGAGUCGUGUCAGUCGGGUGCUCUCUGCACUGAACAAGUCGUCAUGCUGAAGGCCUUGCAGCAGGUGGUGAGCGGCAGCUUUCAGAGUGAGCGGCUGGGCCGGGCUGGCGAAAAAGAUGCGGAGAGGAAGAUGAUGAGCCGGAAGAAAUGGUGCCAGAGCCCCCAUGCAGAUGGAUCUGGCAGUGGCAAGAGGGGCACCGGGGACCCUAUAGGCACAUGUGACCGGAGCAGCACUGUCCCCGAGGCCCUGGGCCUGUUCUCCGGCCUGGCGGGGGCCCUGCAGUUCCUGCAGAGGUCAUGUGCUGCCUCCAUGCAGACCCGGCUCCUCCUAGGAGACGAGGGGCUCCUGGGGCCCCCGGGCAUCUGCGGGGACGUGGAGCCGGACGAGGUGGAGCUGGUGGCCGAGGUACGGCUGGGGGACGUGGCUGCUGCGUCCGGCAUCUUCAGGAGAGAGCGGGCUUGGAGGGUGCACAAAUCAGGUAGGGCCGGAGGUGGGGAGGAUGGGCCACGGGGCCUGUCCCCUCUAGGGGGCGCCGGCUCCCAUCCGGCCCCAGAGUGGGGACUGGCUGGCU
This 745-nucleotide long non-coding RNA is filed under the name Chelonoidis abingdonii (Abingdon island giant tortoise). Its description in RNAcentral is "lncRNA (ENSCABG00000018633.1)". Lineage: Eukaryota; Metazoa; Chordata; Testudines; Testudinidae. The record is from RNAcentral.